UACGUAGGGGGCUAGCGUUGUCCGGAAUCAUUGGGCGUAAAGAGCGUGUAGGCGGCCCGGUAAGUCCGCUGUGAAAGUCGGGGGCUCAACCCUCGAAUGCCGGUGGAUACUGUCGGGCUAGAGUGCGGAAGAGGGUCGUGGAAUUCCCAGUGUAGAGGUGAAAUUCGUAGAUAUUGGGAAGAACACCGGUGGCGAAGGCGGGUCUCUGGGCAAUUCCUGACGCUGAGGCGCGAAAGCGUGGGGAGCAAACGGG
Molecule: ribosomal RNA, 253 nt
Filed under: uncultured bacterium
Lineage: Bacteria
Description: partial 16S ribosomal RNA
Rfam family: Bacterial small subunit ribosomal RNA
Source: RNAcentral